GCGAGUGUGAUGGAAUCGGUAGACAUACAGGACUUAAAAUCCUGAGGCCGCAAGGUCGUGCGGGUUCGAGUCCCGCCACUCGCACCA
Molecule: transfer RNA, 87 nt
Filed under: Tepidimonas taiwanensis
Lineage: Bacteria; Pseudomonadati; Pseudomonadota; Betaproteobacteria; Burkholderiales
Description: tRNA-Leu
Rfam family: tRNA
About the family: Transfer RNA (tRNA) molecules are approximately 80 nucleotides in length. Their secondary structure includes four short double-helical elements and three loops (D, anti-codon, and T loops).
Source: RNAcentral